GCUAUACAUGCAGUCGAGCGAGCAGAACCAGCAGAUUUACUUCGGUAAUGACGCUGGGGACGCGAGCGGCGGAUGGGUGAGUAACACGUGGGGAACCUGCCCCAUAGUCUGGGAUACCACUUGGAAACAGGUGCUAAUACCGGAUAAGAAAGCAGAUCGCAUGAUCAGCUUAUAAAAGACGGCGUAAGCUGUCGCUAUGGGAUGGCCCCGCGGUGCAUUAGCUAGUUGGCAAGGUAACGGCUUACCAAGGCAAUGAUGCAUAGCCGAGUUGAGAGACUGAUCGGCCACAUUGGGACUGAGACACGGCCCAAACUCCUACGGGAGGCAGCAGUAGGGAAUCUUCCACAAUGGACGCAAGUCUGAUGGAGCAACGCCGCGUGAGUGAAGAAGGUUUUCGGAUCGUAAAGCUCUGUUGUUGGUGAAGAAGGAUAGAGGUAGUAACUGGCCUUUAUUUGACGGUAAUCAACCAGAAAGUCACGGCUAACUACGUGCCAGCAGCCGCGGUAAUACGUAGGUGGCAAGCGUUGUCCGGAUUUAUUGGGCGUAAAGCGAGCGCAGGCGGAAGAAUAAGUCUGAUGUGAAAGCCCUCGGCUUAACCGAGGAACUGCAUCGGAAACUGUUUUUCUUGAGUGCAGAAGAGGAGAGUGGAACUCCAUGUGUAGCGGUGGAAUGCGUAGAUAUAUGGAAGAACACCAGUGGCGAAGGCGACUCUCUGGUCUGCAACUGACGCUGAGGCUCGAAAGCAUGGGUAGCGAACAGGAUUAGAUACCCUGGUAGUCCAUGCCGUAAACGAUGAGUGCUAAGUGUUGGGAGGUUUCCGCCUCUCAGUGCUGCAGCUAACGCAUUAAGCACUCCGCCUGGGGAGUACGACCGCAAGGUUGAAACUCAAAGGAAUUGACGGGGGCCCGCACAAGCGGUGGAGCAUGUGGUUUAAUUCGAAGCAACGCGAAGAACCUUACCAGGUCUUGACAUCUAGUGCCAUCCUAAGAGAUUAGGAGUUCCCUUCGGGGACGCUAAGACAGUGUGCAUGGCUGUCGUCAGCUCGUGUCGUGAGAUGUUGGGUUAAGUCCCGCAACGAGCGCAACCCUUAUUAUUAGUUGCCAGCAUUAAGUUGGGC
Molecule: ribosomal RNA, 1117 nt
Filed under: Lactobacillus helveticus
Lineage: Bacteria; Bacillati; Bacillota; Bacilli; Lactobacillales; Lactobacillaceae
Description: bacterial SSU rRNA
Rfam family: Bacterial small subunit ribosomal RNA
Source: RNAcentral